AUGUCUUCCUCAAGCUCCCGCGCCACCUCGCGGAUGCAGAGCCGGGCGCGUGUGGACAUGCAUGUCUUCGUCUGUCCGCGGUGCCGGGCGGGCGUUGAUCGGAGGGUUUCUCACACACCAAGGAACCAGAAUCGUCCGUUCUACGUGUGCAGUGAGAAUGGGGUGACAUGCUUAUUUCUUUGGGUCGAUGCUCUGGCCAAGACUCUGAUGAAUGAACUGCAAGAAGAGCAUGAAGAAUGGUUGCACAUGCUGCCACGAACGGCAGUGGCCGCAGCACGAGCUCCGGAAGAAGAGAUGGAGGGCGAAGCACGCACUGACAGAGAGCUAGCUGUUGAGCUUAGGAUGUUGAAGACGAAGGUUAGGAAGCUUGAAGAUCAAGCACUACCAAUACCCAUUUGCAAAUACUUUUGGGCAUUUGUAGGUAUGGUAAUCACACUGGUUGUAAUAUUGAAAAUGUAUGGAAAGGCAUGA
Molecule: ribosomal RNA, 471 nt
Filed under: Triticum aestivum (bread wheat)
Lineage: Eukaryota; Viridiplantae; Streptophyta; Magnoliopsida; Poales; Poaceae
Description: partial small subunit ribosomal RNA
Source: RNAcentral